GACCCGCACCGCCUCGUCCCGUGAGGCGGCCCGAACCGCCGCGGAGCGGCCGCUGCCCUCGGGGGAGCCGUGCGGGGAAGCGGGGCGGCGCUGAGCUUCGGGAGCGAGGAGGAGGAGCGGGAAGGAUGGCAUCGUUGCAGGAUGUGCCCCGUGCCCACCAGAGGGAGUAUGAGAAACACGUGGAGAGCAUUGACAGUUCAAAGAUAACUGCCCAGGAAUGAGAGAAGCCUUCAGAUGCUGCUAUCAACUACAGAUUCUACAGGGGCAUGAAAACAUACGUAGAGAACUUAGUAAACUGUUUCAAUGAAAAAGUACGCGUGUUUUCCUUCCCUUCGCUGCCACCCAUUUCUUUAAGAUGAUGAACCUGCAUUCUCUCAAGGCAAAAAUGAGAUUUCUUAUUUGGAAUUGAUGAUGAGAUGACCAGUUAUAAGUCAAUUCUAUCAGAAACUUGAGUGUCACAGGAAACAAAGGAGGAACAGACCACCCCUCACAGUAACCUAAAAUGAUUAAGCUGAAAUACAUAACUGAGCUCGAAUCUGCUGUACGUGCACUUCUCCAGCAGCGAGCCGUGUCGGUACUGAAGCGAAGGCAAGAUGAGCUGGAAACGGAAUCUACUUAUAUGCAGCAUCUGACAACUGGGAAUGGCAAACCAAGUAAUGAUGGACUGGAGAGUGAUGAAAA
Long non-coding RNA from Gallus gallus (chicken), 681 nucleotides. RefSeq annotates it as GC-rich sequence DNA-binding factor-like. Lineage: Eukaryota; Metazoa; Chordata; Aves; Galliformes; Phasianidae. The transcript has 4 exons. The record is from RefSeq and is a predicted model, not a curated record.